CUGAGCGCGGCGCGGCCCCGCGCGGCCCUCAGAGCGGCGGCGGCGGCGGCGAUGAUGUCCGAGCUGGAGCACCUGGGCGGGAAGCGGGCCGAGUCGGCGCGGCUGCGGCGGGCCGAGCAGCUGCGGCGCUGGAAGGGCUCCCUGACCGAGCAGGAGCCGGUGGCGGCGGGGGGCGGCCGUGGCCGGCACCGCGGUGCGGGGGGGUCCCGCGUCCGCUUCGAAGAGGGCGCCGUGUUCCUGGCCGCCUGCUCCAGCGGCGACACCGAGGAGGUGAAGAAGUUGCUGGGCCGCGGCGCCCGCAUCAACACCACCAAUGUGGACGGGCUGACAGCCCUGCACCAGGCCUGUAUUGAUGAGAACCUGGACAUGGUGAAGUUCCUGGUGGAAAAUGGAGCCAAUGUGAACCAGCAAGACAACGAGGGCUGGACCCCUCUUCACGCGGUGGCAUCGUGUGGCUACCAGAACAUAGCAGAAUACCUGAUCAGCCACGGGGCCAACGUGGCUGCUGUGAACAGUGAGGGGGAGGUCCCGUCCGACAUCGCGGAGGAGGCAGCCAUGAAGGACCUGCUUCUGGAGCAAGUCAAGAAACAAGGUGUAGACCUGGAGCUGUCAAGGAAAGAGGAGGAGCAGCAGAUGCUCCAGGAUGCCCGGCAGUGGCUGAACAGUGGGAGAAUUGAGGAUAUAAAGCAGCCUCGGACAGGAGCCACAGCUCUUCAUGUUGCUGCAGCCAAGGGAUAUUCUGAAGUCAUGAGGCUCCUGAUCCAGGCUGGGUUUAAUCUGAACGUCCAGGACAAUGAUGGCUGGACUCCACUCCAUGCUGCUGCUCACUGGGGAGUGAAGGAAGCAUGUUCCAUCCUGGCUGAGGCUCUGUGUGACAUGGACAUCAGGAACAAGCUGGGCCAGACGCCCUUUGACGUUGCUGACGAGGGACUUGUGGAGCAUUUAGAAAUGUUGCAGAAGAAACAGUCUGUGCUGCGAAGUGAGAAGGAGACAAGGAAUAAGCUGAUUGAAGCUGACAUGAAUGGGAAGCCUCAAAACAGACUCUUCACCAACAAAGAGAAGAUUCUUUAUGAGGAAGACACGUUGAAGUCCAUGGAAACUGAGGAAGAGAACAAGGACUCGAGCAGUUCUAGUUCUGAAGAGGAAGAAGCUGAAGAUGAAGUUUCAGAAUCAGACACUGAAAAGGAGUCAGAGAGAAAGGAAGAGCCCUUUGCCAACCACUCGAGCUGUGAAUCCAGGCCCAGCAUCACUGAGCAAAUGCCAGCACCCGAGCCCAACUCCUUCACUGCAUCUGCCAGAAGAUUCAGUUGGCUCAGCAAGGCAGAUGAGCAGAAGGAUGAGUCGCCUUCGUCGUGGCGGCUGGGCCUGAGGAAGACUGGCAGCCACAACAUGCUGAGUGAAGUCUCUGCCACUCGUGAGGCACAGAGGGAUAAAACUUCUCCCAUCUAUCGCUCCUCGUCCAGCCCUCGGAUUUCUGCACUGUUGGACAACAAGGAAAAGGACAGAGACAACAAGAGUUAUCUUGCCACCAUAGUCCCCAGAAGACUGAGCAGUACGAGUGAUACAGAAGAAAAAGAAAACAGGGAAUCUGCUGUGAACCUGGUGAGGAGUGGCUCCUACAGCCAGCAGCCCUGGAGGGACGAGCCAAAGGGAAACGAAGCUCCCCGCUCUGGUGCACCCACGACCUACGUAUCCACCUACUUGAAAAGUGCUUCCUUUGGUAGAAGUAGUGACCUGAGCAGUCCCUACAUUUCAGCCAGUCGCAGUCCAUCUCUAGCUACCUCACCCACUGCCAUUGGCUCAUCUACCUCCCCGGGCACCCCGUGGCAACCUGUCUCUUGCUGCCCCACCUCUCUCGGUGUGAACACUCCUGCUCCAGCCUGCCACAGCACCAGAGCCCCUUUCAGGCAACAAAGUGAUUCUGCUGUAGAGAAAAACACAGAGGGCAGCUGUGCCAGCACCCCCCUAGGUGUAAUCACAAACCAUGCUGUGCUCGGCGCUGCCAACGGCACCGGGAAUGCCGGGGCUGCCUCCGCCCUGGGGAAGGACCUCUCGGCUGAGGAGGCCAGGGAGCGCAGAAGGUCAUAUCUGACUCCGGUGCGGGAUGAGGAAGCAGAAUCGCUGAGGAAGGCACGAUCCAGACAGGCCCGGCAGACUCGCAGGUCUACCCAGGGAGUGACCCUGACGGACCUGCAGGAGGCCGAGCGCACGUUCAGCCGGUCACGGGCAGAGCACCAGGCGCAGGAGCCGCAGGGUGACAGAGCCGAGGACAGCAGUGACAGACCUGCGCGCUGGGCACGGAGCACGGACGACGAGACCAUCUAUCGGCGAUUGAGGGGCCCAGCACAGCCCGACAAACCCACUACACCUGUGUCUCCUUCCACAGCAGCACCUCUGCUCUAUACAAGCUCCUACCUGACUCGAACAAAUAAAUAUCUAGGGCUGGACUCUGUGAAUCCAGCAGAUUUCAGAGCAGCAGGCACAGAGAUGGAGAAAAAUGAGUGUGAAGAUCAGGAUUCAGAUGACAGAUCCCUGAACAAACAGUCGAUCCGAGAACGGCGACGGCCAAAAGAGAGACGGAGAGGCACCGGCAUCAUCUUCUCCACACAAGAUGAUGAAGAUGAAGUUGGUGGAAACGAGGAGGUGAAGGAAACUCGGCAUGAAAGACUUUCCAGGUUGGAAGCAGCUACAAAUCCCAGCACGAGUGACUCGUCGUUCAGUGAGCGCGCCUCCGGCCGCUCCAGUGCCUACAGCCGCAGGGAGAACCGGCUCGCCGCGCUCAGCAGCCGUGCAGAGGAGGAGAGCAGCAGGGACUACAAGAAAUUAUAUGAGAGUGCCCUGUCUGAAAAUCAAAAGCUGAAGUCAAAGCUGCAAGAAGCCCAGCUUGAGCUGGCUGAUAUCAAAGCAAAGUUGGAAAAAGCAGCCCAGAAACAGGAGAAAACUUCUGACCGAUCCAGCAUGCUGGAGAUGGAGAAGAGGGAGAAGCGAGCCCUGGAGCGGAAACUCUCUGAAAUGGAGGAGGAAAUGAAGUGUGCUGACCCCCUGUGCUCUGACUAGUCUGCAGCGCAAGUUAAGCCACUGAGGUUCUCUCCGGAUGGCAGGUGGGACCAAGCUGCUCUCAGAAGGAAGGACCCACCUGAGAGCUCUCCCUGCACCAUGCACUGACAGGAACGACUUCCUGCCACCCUGGAGGAGGUUCCAGCUCUGUUUCUAUUUGAAGCUUUUGUUUCUACCAAGCACAUAACUCUGAAAGGCUUGUGCUGCAUCUUCUGCUGCAACAUCUCUUGUUCUCUCAGAGAGGGGAAAAUAAGCGUGAAUGUGUGAACCAGGAGGAGAAGGAGAAAGGAUUGAAUAUGUCUAAAUUCCAGACUCUUUGUUCAGUGAGCAGAUUUUGACAGAGCUGAAGUCGGACAACCAAAGGCUGAAGGAUGAGAACGGAGCCCUCAUUCGAGUCAUCAGCAAACUCUCCAAAUAGGAAUCAGAGCAAAGGGAGGACAAGGAGGGGUGUCCUACACCAGCUGCCAACCCCACCACCAAGCCCUACCCCUUACUUCCCGUCAUGUACAGCAAGUGUUUCAGCCGUGGGAUCAAUGUCACACCUGCCUUGCCCUGCCCUUUGCUGUACAUUCCCUUUCUACUCCUAUUUCCCCCCAACACGCCCCCUGCCAUUUUAUUUUUUUUAAUUUAUGCAUGUUGUGGUAUCUCGGACAUUUUAUUCAAGGGAGAAAUGUGAGGACUGGGUUUGAGCUGCCAAAACUUCUUCCAAAAGCUCAGUAUUUGGUUUUGGACUCUGACCUGGAGUGGGAAGCUCCUACUGUAAAAAGUGACAUCUGAAGAACUAACCCAGCCCUUUACAGGUGGGAAAUGUGAACCUGGGCUGGGACUCUGAGGAUGCACAUCAGCCCACUGAGAUAUGGGACUCUGGUUAAAUGUGAUGCUGUGAAAGCAACCAGAGCUCAUGUUUGUCACAGGCUGAUGAGCUGUUUUGCACAGACACCUUCUCCUCUUGCCCCAGUAGACUGAGUCUUCUAUUUUAGAUAAGAGUUUUGAACCUGUUCAGUAACAUCAGUGCUGUGCUGACACUCAGUGUCAGACCCUGUUCCCUCGCCCUCCCUUUCCCCCCCAGCCUAGGUGUCCUUCCAGGGCUCCAGUCUCUGGUUGGUAGCAUCCAGUUGCCACCUGGACACUUGUUCCUUGGGACAGGAUAUAUCCCAGGCACUUGCUGAGCUUUCUGAAGGACAAACUUGAACCCUUACAGACCCUCUGCUGCUCUCACCUGUGUGUGAGCAUGAAUCACCUUGCAGGGAGCUGUGCCCAUGCCAGAAACCAGGCUCCCCUUCCCAAAAGCCAUCUGGGAUGUUCUCCCCCUGCCUCCCUGAUGGCGGAGCCCAUAGCAGAGCCUAGUCUGGUGUUUCAGGUACCCUCCCUUUGAUUUGCAGCAGGAUUUGUAGACAGAGAAUGCCAGCAUCCUGUCCCACACACCUUGCAGAGGUCAGGGUGUGUCAGUGUCAGAGGGACAAGGAGCUGCUGGUAACUGAAUCACCAUGAUGAAAGUCUUCUGACCUGUCAGAAACUUGUGAUAUCUUUGACCUUGAAGGAACCCCCCAAAAAUAUUCCUCUUUAAUGUUACAUGCACUCUAAACAGUUUGGAAUUGUUCUCUCCCGUGGGCAUUUAGACAUUGGCUCCUCUCUCCGUGCUGUGGGACGUCAUCAGUUCUGUUCAUCUUCCCAUUUACAGACUCCUCCCAAACAGUAACUUCCCUCUCAGAGACGUUCUGCUGUAUCCAAAACAUUCUCCCAUCUACAUCCUUCCAUAUUUGUCCUUUCAUCCCCUUUGUCCUUCAACUCCCCAGGCUCUGUCUGGCCAAGGGCAGCAGUUCUUGGUCACUGGACCUGGAGGUGGCCAUGGAGCAGCUCUGCCAUGUUCCUGAGCAGUUCUGCUGGCUCUGGCUGGGGGGACUCUCCACUACCAGAGAGAUAAGAUACUUGAACAUGAGCAGAAUACUUGAGCUUGCUCAGCAGGGUAAAACUUAUCUCUAUCAGGCAAUCCUGGGCUUUUUUGAACCUUUUGCUGGUUAUUGCCUCAGAAAGCAUCUCUGUUUCCCUCUCUCUGGGGUUUUCUCUCUUUUUUUUUCCCCCCUAAUUCUCCAUUUUCCCCCCUUCCCCUCCCUGUCCUGCCUGUUUCCACCUCUCUUGCUCCUCCUGGAGCUGCCAGUUCUCCCUUCUCCCCAGGCAGCUCUGACCACAAGUUGCUCUUCAGCUGGUUGAGCCGUUUGUGCAGCUGAGGCAUCGUUUCUCCUGGUACACUGAGGCCCUGUCUCUGCUGCUGAGCUUUGGGAGGAAGAGACCAAAGCUGGUAAAGGCAUCAGGGUUUCUGCAGAGCACUGCCUAAGCCAGGCAUCCUUUUUAUAUUCCUUGAUUUUAACCCUGCGCUAUUUAAUGGCUUUAAAUCUUGAGAUCCAGUCAGUGCUUCCCCUGCACGCCGUCCCCUCUUGGUGCACUCUUUCUGUGAGUACUUCUGCCAUUCUUGGUGUUUUCUCUCUUGGUGACCGCUCCUCACUUCAUCCUCGGGCUCUGCUCUGCUCAGGAGCUCGGGGUCAGGAGCCCUGUCCCUGUCCUGAGCCCAUGGAGCAGGAGGUGCUCCCCAGCUGGGCUGCCACCUCAGGCCACGCAUCCCGGCAGGAUGAGGAGGAGAGUUCAGAAACAAGAUCCUGUCCUUCUCACAGGCGGGUUCCUGGCAGCAGGAAGAAGCCUGGUGUCUGUUUUAGGGAGAGGGUUCAACCCAAUCUGACAAAUCCAUCCUGCAGUGAUGUUUUGCCCCUUCUUACAGGACACUUGCUGCGCUUUUUCCCAAGGAGCAGAGUGGAAAGGCUGUGGGAGGCUCGUUCUUCUGAGUGGCACCUUGCAAAGCCAAACCACUGUAGCUGCAGUGUCUGCUUAGCACUGGAUUCUCUGAGCCCUGGGCCCCCCAGCUCAGUGUCCCUGAUCAGCCAAAGCUGUGAGCGUCUCGUGGUGAAGGUGCAACUGCAAAUCACAUUCUUGAGAAUGGAUUAUUUUGUCUCACUUCAUGCCUGACAUAACCAGUGCACUGAGGAGGUGACAAACAGGACACCUCAAACCCUGUGCUUGCCACAAGGUGCAGAGCAAAUAGGUUUUUAAAAUUGAUCCCUCUCAGAACCAGAGCAUUUGCCAGACGUGGUCUCCCUUGGGGAACAUGAGCUUUUUUUUCUAAGCAAUUGCUUGGGGUGAGUUAAUUUUUAUUGCUUGGGGUGAACCCACCUGUUGUGGCUGCAAGUUUGGUGAUGGCUCUUUGUAAAUAAACUCCUUGGAGAAGCAGGACUGGCUGAUGAGAUGGGGAGAGAAUGUAUUUUUAUGCAACUUUUGAGUGGCCUUUCAAACCCUGAGAUGAAUGAUUUGUUUUACUGGUUGUUGUUAUAUAGUAUUAUAAGUAUUAUGUGUUUGAAAGUUUGGGAAUAAUAUUCACAGCUAUGAUGCUUGUAAACACAACAGUAUUUAUAAAUGAAUAAAGUAAGAGUUGAUAAAAUAGAA
This is an RNA transcript of Haemorhous mexicanus (house finch), 6549 nucleotides long. It is a transcript of the gene named protein phosphatase 1 regulatory subunit 12B, with no coding region annotated. The transcript has 27 exons. The record is from RefSeq and is a predicted model, not a curated record. NCBI's taxonomy places the organism in Eukaryota, Metazoa, Chordata, Aves, Passeriformes, Fringillidae.